This 3159-nucleotide unclassified non-coding RNA is filed under the name Cotesia glomerata. RNAcentral's name for it is "rab3 GTPase-activating protein catalytic subunit, transcript variant X3". Lineage: Eukaryota; Metazoa; Arthropoda; Insecta; Hymenoptera; Braconidae. The record is from RNAcentral.
CGUUUACAAAUAUGUCAAACAAAGAAAUAUGGUUAAAGUGUAAGUGAUCUGUUUACUUGCUUGAAAUAAAAGUCAAUUAAUAGUUAUUAACAUAAAAAAUAAUUAGUUAGGAAAAUUAAUGGGUAGUUGACAUGCAUAACGUAGAAAUAGAAGAUUUUUACCACCACGACUUCACCACAGCUUCCGAGUGGGAAGUAUUUAUCGCCCGUCUGGAAGAAAUAAUUCACGAGUGGAAACUUCCUCACUCAAAACUCGAACCAGCCUUGAAAUCUGGAGACUUUGUCAAUUUAACUUGGGAAGUCAAGUCCGAAGAAUUGAAUUUCGCAAAUUACCCCUUUUUGUUCAAGCAUUUUAAGCUCAAAACAAGUGAUUCUACUGAUAAGAUCGACUCAGAGACUUCUGACGAGGAUUCUAGCACUCAAAGUCACAUUGAUGUUCUCAAUAUCGCCAAUGACUUUGCACGUGUCGAUCAAGAUUAUCUGGAGAUAGCCCGAUAUUAUGGAAUACGUGAGUUUGUGCUUUUGACUCCAGCGAAAAAAAUUUCUAUCUCUGAUGAAACGAGGAUUAAAAUCCUUGUCAGUUCGUUGACAAUCGCAUCCACCAAUUCUAACAGUGAAGUUCCAGCUUUAGUUCAAGUACAAGAACCAUGGCAAAAAUAUUAUUUGGGUGUCAGUGUUGGCAAGGGAACAAUUACUCACCUGGAUAUGGUUCAUUUAAAAAAAACUCCACCACAUUGUCGUCAUCUUACUGGAUUAUUGGCGUUAUUUAAGCAAAAGAUAGGUGAAGGUUCUGGAGUGAGAUUAGAUCCAGUGAUGGUAUCUAUUCGGUUUACAUACUUGCUCAAAGACUGGUUAACGGAGCCGCAUUUUGAUUUCAUGAAAGGAAAACCAGUGACUAAUAACGAGCUUGGUAAGCUUCCUUUUGGAGCUGAAGUAGAUCCAGUGUCAGAACUUCAAGUUUACGCUACAUGGCCUCAAAUGUCUGAGAAUAUCGUGGUAGACAGCGAAAGUUUUACGGAUUUGGAGCCUCAAUUAGCCACGGAAUGGUCGGCGAGAGUGAAAAUGGUCGCUACACCGCCUAGCUUGCUUGAAGAGCACCUGAAAGGUUUUUUAAACCUCUGCAAUAACCAGAAAUUGCUGGUCGACAUACUGGGAGACGCGUAUGUCGACAACGACCAAAUGUUGAGCUCGGCAUUCAAUAUUGUCACGGAGUCAAAAAUUCCUACGAUAUCCAAAGUCAUGAGUCGCGCGUCUUCUAAAAAGAGUAACAAAAAUGACGGACCCAUUCCUGAUGACACUUUGAUGCUGAUUCUGUACUAUUUAUUCCCUGACGCGGACGAACAAUCGAAAGCAAUGUAUGAUGAGAUUGGGUCGAAUAUUGAUGAAGAUUUAUGGAAAGGCAUCAAAACGUGUGCCCUGGACUCUCUGGUUUGGAGACUUGCGAUUGUAACUGCUCAUUGCAGACAAAAUCUCGGAGGUAUUCAAGCCGUAGCUCAAAUUUGGCACGAGUUUGUUCAAGAAAUGCGGUAUCGAUGGGACGAGAGUAUUCUCAUUCCUGGCGUGGGAACUGGGUUUCCGGACUCUGUACGAACGUGUUUGCUACACCAGAAAUUGCAGAUGAUUAACUGCUGCAUCGAGCGAAAAAAGCGCCGCAACGAGUUCGACUUAAAGCCGCUAAAUAUUGUCGACCAUUUUGACUCCGCAGAAGAAGAAUCAGAGGAAGAAUUUUUCGAGUGCGAAGAAGAAGCUUCGGUCCAAGAAGUGCAAGUUCACCGAAAAACUAAGCACUUACUGUGGAACAAACCAACAGGUCGCCUGUCGAAGCAUCCGUCUUUGAAGUUGCUGAAAACUGGGGACGCUUUGUAUUUGCCGGUGACCCAGGACCCGGUCCCCAAGACCGAGGACCAGCUGGAGGAGGACGCGCAGCUGAUGAUGCAGCUAGGAACUGACAAACAAGGCUCUGAAAUGCGUGCCAGGCUGAUGAGCGCUUCACUUUUGUCGGACAUGGAGUCCUUCAAGGCAGCUAAUCCCGGAUCGGAACUCGAAGAUUUCAUACGCUGGUACUCGCCGAGAGACUGGAUCGAGGAGGAAGGUACCGAUCAAUGGGGACAGAUUAAUGGACAUUUAUCGCCGCGAAUGAAGAUUCCGAAUAACCCGUGGGCGACCACCUGGAACUCGGCCCAACCUGUACCAGCUCAUCGCCAAAAGCGACUUUUUGAUGACACCAAGGAAGCUGAGAAGACUAUCCAGUUUUUAGCGUGCAGGCGCAUUGGGGAAAUUUGCCAACUCCUGAUGCCUGUGCUAGCUCAUGCGGCUCUACAAGCACUUGCUCAACAUAAGCAACAGGCAAUUGCUAAAUUACCGGACAUAAUUAACGGAAUUACUACAAAGUUACAACGCGCCACCAAGUCUUUUCAUCUACAGACUCAUAUUUAUGAUGACAUCAUCGAUGAAAUAUCUACAAUAAAGGCCCUUUUGACGCAGUACAAUUCACUGAACAAUAAAUUCCCGGGAGAAAAUGAAGAAACAACAGCUUUCAUUAUAAAUCUAAUGGAAGGAAAAGAAGUUUCAAUUUCUGGUGGCGCGCGAAGUCUUCCAGGAUUGAGAAUAACAGAAAUGUUUCGUAAUAGCCAAAAAGCUACUUAUAUGGUGGACAUUCCAAGCAGCGGUUCCGGUAGGACUGGAGCUGGAAAUGAAAAGCAAAAGACGUUCCCCGAGCCCUCGUCCAAGGAAUUUAUCCUUCGAGGAGUGACACCCCGGCCUUCUCCGACCUCAGCACCGCAACCUCAGCGGCUGUAUGUCAAUCUUAAGAGAGAAUCCAUCAGACUCGCGGGAUUUUUCUCUGAAGAUACAACCUUUUUAUAAAUAGUUAUUAGUCAUUAUUGAUGGGCAUAAGUGUUGGAUAUCACGAUGUCCAAAUGACUUUCAAUCUUCACACUCUUCGGUGAUUUAUUGAGAAAUCUAAUUAUCUUUUCGAAAGUGUGAGGACUGAAGUUCAUCGAUGUGUUCAGAAAUUCAAAAGUUCGGAGGCAGGUUCCUCGGGUCUUUUUAUCAGGACUAAUUUUUAUUAAUGCACUGGUUCAUUAUUGCACGAUAAUUAUCAAUUUUCAAAAUUUUUAUUUCACUUUUGUCCUCUGAUAAAAAAAUAUCUAUAUUUUUA